AAUCAGUUAGUUAGCAUUAUACCGUGAAACUGCGAAUGGCUCAUUAAAUCAGUUAUCGUUUAUUUGAUAGUACCUUACUACUUGGAUAACCGUGGUAAUUCUAGAGCUAAUACAUGCUAAAAACCCCAACUUCGGGAGGGGUGUAUUUAUUAGAUAAAAAACCAAUGCCCUUCGGGGCUCCUUGGUGAUUCAUGAUAACUUCUCAGAUCGCAUGGCUUUACGCCGGCGACGGUUCAUUCAAAUUUCUGCCCUAUCAACUUUCGAUGGUAAGGUAUUGGCUUACCAUGGUUUCAACGGGUAACGGGGAAUUAGGGUUCGAUUCCGGAGAGGGAGCCUGAGAAACGGCUACCACAUCCAAGGAAGGCAGCAGGCGCGCAAAUUACCCAAUUCCGAUACGGAGAGGUAGUGACAAUAAAUACUGAUACAGGGCUCUUUUGGGUCUUGUAAUUGGAAUGAGUACAAUUUAAACCUCUUAACGAGGAACAAUUGGAGGGCAAGUCUGGUGCCAGCAGCCGCGGUAAUUCCAGCUCCAAUAGCGUAUAUUAAAGUUGUUGCAGUUAAAAAGCUCGUAGUUGAACCUUUGGCCUGGCUGGCAGGUCCGCCUCACCGCGUGCACUUGUCCGGCCGGGCCUUUUCUUCUGGAGAACCGCAUGCCCUUCACUGGGUGUGUUGGGGACCAGGACUUUUACUUUGAAAAAAUUAGAGUGUUCAAAGCAGGCCUUUGCUCGAAUACGUUAGCAUGGAAUAAUAGAAUAGGACGUGCGGUCCUAUUUUGUUGGUUUCUAGGACCGCCGUAAUGAUUAAUAGGGACAGUCGGGGGCAUCAGUAUUCAAUUGUCAGAGGUGAAAUUCUUGGAUUUAUUGAAGACUAACUACUGCGAAAGCAUUUGCCAAGGAUGUUUUCAUUAAUCAGUGAACGAAAGUAAGGGGAUCGAAGACGAUCAGAUACCGUCGUAGUCUUACCAUAACUAUGCCGACAAGGGAUCGGGCGGUGUUCUAUUGUGACCGGUCGGACCUACCAGAAAUCAAA
Molecule: ribosomal RNA, 1029 nt
Filed under: Parastagonospora avenae
Lineage: Eukaryota; Fungi; Ascomycota; Dothideomycetes; Pleosporales; Phaeosphaeriaceae
Description: SSU rRNA
Rfam family: Eukaryotic small subunit ribosomal RNA
Source: RNAcentral